AACGAACGCUGGCGGCAUGCCUAACACAUGCAAGUCGAACGAGACCUUCGGGUCUAGUGGCGCACGGGUGCGUAACGCGUGGGAACCUGCCCUUAGGUUCGGAAUAACUCAGAGAAAUUUGAGCUAAUACCGGAUAAUGUCUUCGGACCAAAGAUUUAUCGCCUUUGGAUGGGCCCGCGUAGGAUUAGCUUGUUGGUGGGGUAAUGGCCUACCAAGGCGACGAUCCUUAGCUGGUCUGAGAGGAUGAUCAGCCACACUGGGACUGAGACACGGCCCAGACUCCUACGGGAGGCAGCAGUGGGGAAUAUUGGACAAUGGGCGAAGGCCUGAUACAGCAAUGCCGCGUGAGUGAUGAAGGCCUUAGGGUUGUAAAGCUCUUUUACCAGGGAUGAUAAUGACAGUACCUGGAGAAUAAGCGCCGGCUAACUCCGUG
RNAcentral lists this ribosomal RNA (433 nucleotides) under uncultured bacterium. RNAcentral describes it as "partial 16S ribosomal RNA". It matches the Rfam family "Bacterial small subunit ribosomal RNA", at positions 29 to 507 of the family's 1533-position model. The record is from RNAcentral.